AUUGAACGCUGGCGGCAUGCCUUACACAUGCAAGUCGAACGGCAGCACGGGAGCAAUCCUGGUGGCGAGUGGCGAACGGGUGAGUAAUAUAUCGGAACGUGCCCAGUCGUGGGGGAUAACGUAGCGAAAGCUACGCUAAUACCGCAUACGAUCUAUGGAUGAAAGCGGGGGAUCGCAAGACCUCGCGCGAUUGGAGCGGCCGAUAUCAGAUUAGGUAGUUGGUGAGGUAAAAGGGCUCACCAAAGCCGACGAUCUGUAGCUGGUCUGAGAGGACGACCAGCCACACUGGGACUGAGACACGGCCCAGACUCCUACGGGAGGCAGCAGUGGGGAAUUUUGGACAAUGGGCGCAAGCCUGAUCCAGCAAUGCCGCGUGCAGGAUGAAGGCC
Molecule: ribosomal RNA, 389 nt
Filed under: uncultured bacterium
Lineage: Bacteria
Description: bacterial SSU rRNA
Rfam family: Bacterial small subunit ribosomal RNA
Source: RNAcentral